RNAcentral lists this ribosomal RNA (349 nucleotides) under uncultured Helicobacter sp. RNAcentral's name for it is "bacterial SSU rRNA". It matches the Rfam family "Bacterial small subunit ribosomal RNA", at positions 278 to 643 of the family's 1533-position model. Lineage: Bacteria; Pseudomonadati; Campylobacterota; Epsilonproteobacteria; Campylobacterales; Helicobacteraceae. The record is from RNAcentral.
GACGGGUAUCCGGGCCUGAGAGGGUGAACGGACACACUGGAACUGAGACACGGUCCAGACUCCUACGGGAGGCAGCAGUAGGGAAUAUUGCUCAAUGGGGGAAACCCUGAAGCAGCAACGCCGCGUGGAGGAUGAAGGUUUUAGGAUUGUAAACUCCUUUUGUUAGAGAAGAUUAUGACGGUAUCUAACGAAUAAGCACCGGCUAACUCCGUGCCAGCAGCCGCGGUAAUACGGAGGGUGCAAGCGUUACUCGGAAUCACUGGGCGUAAAGAGUGCGCAGGCGGGAUAGCAAGUCAGAUGUGAAAUGCUAUGGCUUAACCAUAGAACUGCAUUUGAAACUGUUAUUCUA